Non-coding RNA from Mycena metata, 91 nucleotides. The record is from the annotation of a GenBank genome assembly. Lineage: Eukaryota; Fungi; Basidiomycota; Agaricomycetes; Agaricales; Mycenaceae.
GGUCCAGUAGCGGAUGGUCCGCACCCGCAUCCGAUAGGCAUGAACAAGAACUGAUUUCGCGGGGUCGCUCGUUCGACUCGAGCCUGGGCCA